RNAcentral lists this small RNA (147 nucleotides) under Pongo abelii (Sumatran orangutan). Its description in RNAcentral is "Metazoan signal recognition particle RNA (ENSPPYG00000040177.1)". The record is from Rfam by way of RNAcentral. Lineage: Eukaryota; Metazoa; Chordata; Mammalia; Primates; Hominidae.
GCUAGUCGUGGUGGCAGGCGACUGUAAUCCCAGCUACUGGGAGGCUGAGGCAGGAGAAUCACUUGAACCCGGGAGGUGGAGGUUGCAGUGAGCUGAGAUGGCGCCACUGUACUCCACCCUGGGUGACAGAGUGAGACUCUGUCUCAA